RNAcentral lists this ribosomal RNA (225 nucleotides) under uncultured Hydrogenophaga sp. RNAcentral's name for it is "partial 16S ribosomal RNA". It matches the Rfam family "Bacterial small subunit ribosomal RNA", at positions 568 to 792 of the family's 1533-position model. The record is from RNAcentral. Lineage: Bacteria; Pseudomonadati; Pseudomonadota; Betaproteobacteria; Burkholderiales; Comamonadaceae.
UGCGCAGGCGGUUUUGUAAGACAGGCGUGAAAUCCCCGGGCUCAACCUGGGAAUGGCGCUUGUGACUGCAAAGCUGGAGUGCGGCAGAGGGGGAUGGAAUUCCGCGUGUAGCAGUGAAAUGCGUAGAUAUGCGGAGGAACACCGAUGGCGAAGGCAAUCCCCUGGGCCUGCACUGACGCUCAUGCACGAAAGCGUGGGGAGCAAACAGGAUUAGAUACCCCCGUA